This 83-nucleotide transfer RNA is filed under the name Rhizaria sp. RNAcentral's name for it is "tRNA-Tyr". It matches the Rfam family "tRNA". From Rfam's summary of the family: Transfer RNA (tRNA) molecules are approximately 80 nucleotides in length. Their secondary structure includes four short double-helical elements and three loops (D, anti-codon, and T loops). Further hydrogen bonds mediate the characteristic L-shaped molecular structure. tRNAs have two regions of fundamental functional importance: the anti-codon, which is responsible for specific mRNA codon recognition, and the 3' end, to which the tRNAs corresponding amino acid is attached (by aminoacyl-tRNA synthetases). tRNAs cope with the degeneracy of the genetic code in two manners: having more than one tRNA (with a specific anti-codon) for a particular amino acid; and 'wobble' base-pairing, i.e. permitting non-standard base-pairing at the 3rd anti-codon position. The record is from RNAcentral.
AAGAAGGUUACUGAGUGGUCAAAAGUGAUAGACUGUAAAUUUAUUGAUUUUUAUCUUCGUGGGUUCGAAUCCCACUCUUCUUA